AGAUCACUCAGCUACUGGCUAGACUCAGAGAUCACCAGAGUGCCAAAGGUCGUGGCAAGGGCAAGGUUGGCGGCAGGCUGAGGUAAACGUGCAGCGAAUCGAGGCGCUACAGAGAGCCAGAAGACUUUGUCUCCUUCUUCACAUAUGCAUUUGUAGUCAUUAUAAAACCAUCUUUCUGUUUGAUUGCAUAUGUAGAGACAGUAAAGUCUGUCAUUUUACUAAUGUCAUGUUUUAUUUCUGCUUUUUUGUCUUAGAC
Molecule: long non-coding RNA, 256 nt
Organism: Sinocyclocheilus grahami
Lineage: Eukaryota; Metazoa; Chordata; Actinopteri; Cypriniformes; Cyprinidae
Exons: 2
Source: RefSeq, a predicted model, not a curated record